This 71-nucleotide transfer RNA is filed under the name Candidatus Parcubacteria bacterium. RNAcentral describes it as "tRNA-Gly". It matches the Rfam family "tRNA". Rfam says of the family: Transfer RNA (tRNA) molecules are approximately 80 nucleotides in length. Their secondary structure includes four short double-helical elements and three loops (D, anti-codon, and T loops). The record is from RNAcentral. Lineage: Bacteria; Candidatus Parcubacteria.
GCGGGUAUAGUUUAGUGGCAGAACGCAUCCUUGCCAUGGAUGAGACGGGGGUUCGAUUCCCCCUACCCGCA